GAUGAACGCUGGCGGCGUGCCUAAUACAUGCAAGUCGAGCGAACAGACGAGGAGCUUGCUCCUCUGACGUUAGCGGCGGACGGGUGAGUAACACGUGGAUAACCUACCUAUAAGACUGGGAUAACUUCGGGAAACCGGAGCUAAUACCGGAUAAUAUAUUGAACCGCAUGGUUCAAUAGUGAAAGACGGUUUUGCUGUCACUUAUAGAUGGAUCCGCGCCGCAUUAGCUAGUUGGUAAGGUAACGGCUUACCAAGGCAACGAUGCGUAGCCGACCUGAGAGGAUGAUCGGCCACACUGGAACUGAGACACGGUCCAGACUCCUACGGGAGGCAGCAGUAGGGAAUCUUCCGCAAUGGGCGAAAGCCUGACGGAGCAACGCCGCGUGAGUGAUGAAGGUCUUCGGAUCGUAAAGCUCUGUUAUUAGGGAAGAACAAAUGUGUAAGUAACUAUGCACGUCUUGACGGUACCUAAACAGAAAGCCACGGCUAACUACGUG
This 497-nucleotide ribosomal RNA is filed under the name uncultured bacterium. RNAcentral's name for it is "partial 16S ribosomal RNA". It matches the Rfam family "Bacterial small subunit ribosomal RNA", at positions 28 to 507 of the family's 1533-position model. The record is from RNAcentral.